Molecule: ribosomal RNA, 582 nt
Filed under: uncultured bacterium
Lineage: Bacteria
Description: partial 16S ribosomal RNA
Rfam family: Bacterial small subunit ribosomal RNA
Source: RNAcentral
UGGGGAAUUUUGGACAAUGGGCGAAAGCCUGAUCCAGCAAUGCCGCGUGUGUGAAGAAGGCCUUCGGGUUGUAAAGCACUUUUGUCCGGAAAGAAAUCCUUGGCUCUAAUACAGUCGGGGGAUGACGGUACCGGAAGAAUAAGCACCGGCUAACUACGUGCCAGCAGCGCGGUAAUACGUAGGGUGCAAGCGUUAAUCGGAAUUACUGGGCGUAAAGCGUGCGCAGGCGCUUGGUUGCAUAGACCGAUGUGAAAUCCCCGGGGCUCAACCUGGGAACUGCAUUGGUGACUGGCAGGCUAGAGUAUGGCAGAGGGGGGUAGAAUUCCACGUGUAGCAGUGAAAUGCGUAGAGAUGUGGAGGAAUACCGAUGGCGAAGGCAGCCCCCUGGGCCAAAUACUGACGCUCAUGCACGAAAAGCGUGGGGGAGCAAAACAGGAUUAGAUACCCUGGUAGUCCACGCCCUAAACGAUGUCAACUAGUUGUUGGGGAUUCAUUUCCUUAGUAACGUAGCUAACGCGUGAAGUUGACCGCCUGGGGAGUACGGUCGCAAGAUUAAAACUCAAAGGAAUUGACGGGGUCAUA